RNAcentral lists this ribosomal RNA (411 nucleotides) under uncultured microorganism. RNAcentral's name for it is "bacterial SSU rRNA". It matches the Rfam family "Bacterial small subunit ribosomal RNA", at positions 9 to 417 of the family's 1533-position model. The record is from RNAcentral.
GAGUUUGAUCUUGGCUCAGGACGAACGCUGGCGGCGUGCUUAACACAUGCAAGUCGAACGGUGACCUCGGAGCUUGUUCCGGGUGAUCAGUGGCGAACGGGUGAGUAACACGUGAGCAACCUGCCCCCGACUCUGGGGAUAACCCCGGGAAAUCGGAGCUAAUACCGGAUACGAGACGCACAGGCAUCUGUUGCGUCUGGAAAGAAUUUCGGUCGGGGAUGGGCCCGCGGCCUAUCAGCUAGUUGGUGGGGUAGUGGCCUACCAAGGCGACGACGGGUAGCCGGCCUGAGAGGGCGACCGGCCACACUGGGACUGAGACACGGCCCAGACUCCUACGGGAGGCAGCAGUGGGGAAUAUUGCACAAUGGGCGCAAGCCUGAUGCAGCGACGCCGCGUGAGGGAUGACGGCCU